UGAACGCUGGCGGCAUGCCUAACACAUGCAAGUCGAACGCGAAAGUCACUUCGGUGGCGAGUAGAGUGGCGGACGGGUGAGUAACGCAUGGGAAUCUACCUUGCAGUGGGGGACAACCCGAGGAAACUCGGGCUAAUACCGCAUACGACCUACGGGUGAAAGGGGGCUUCGGCUCUCGCUGUUGGACGAGCCCAUGUCCGAUUAGCUGGUUGGUGAGGUAAAGGCUCACCAAGGCGACGAUCGGUAGCUGGUCUAAGCGGAUGAUCAGCCACACUGGGACUGAGACACGGCCCAGACUCCUACGGGAGGCAGCAGUGGGGAAUAUUGGACAAUGGGGGAAACCCUGAUCCAGCAAUGCCGCGUGUGUGAAGAAGGCCUGCGGGUUGUAAAGCACUUUCAGUGGGGAAGAAAAGCCGAGGGUUAAUACCCCUUGGUCUUGACGUUACCCACAGAAGAAGCACCGGCUAACUCC
Molecule: ribosomal RNA, 472 nt
Filed under: uncultured bacterium
Lineage: Bacteria
Description: bacterial SSU rRNA
Rfam family: Bacterial small subunit ribosomal RNA
Source: RNAcentral